GGUGAGCCGCACUGCAGUUCGUACCAUCCAUAUCCGCUGCGCGACGCGUCCGUCGGACGCGUGUGGUACGAGUAAUAAAAAUUUACAGGAUCUGAGAGGAGGAGGAGGCUUGGGAAAGGCAUCUGGCCUCAGCGGAGCAACCUUGGGUAUCACCGCAGCUUCGUGGCUGAUCAACUCCGCUCGUUGCGCAUCGGGUCGGUGAGUCACAAAUUAAUUUUUUUAUUAUAUUUAUAUUUCAAUGUCUUGCAAAUUACUUGUGUAUGUGU
This is a long non-coding RNA of Solenopsis invicta (red fire ant), 266 nucleotides long. RefSeq lists it as uncharacterized. The record is from RefSeq and is a predicted model, not a curated record. The transcript has 3 exons. Lineage: Eukaryota; Metazoa; Arthropoda; Insecta; Hymenoptera; Formicidae.